GAAGGGUGCAAGCGUUACUCGGAAUUACUGGGCGUAAAGCGUGCGUAGGUGGUUAUUUAAGUCCGUUGUGAAAGCCCUGGGCUCAACCUGGGAACUGCAGUGGAUACUGGAUGACUAGAGUGUGGUAGAGGGUAGCGGAAUUCCUGGUGUAGCAGUGAAAUGCGUAGAGAUCAGGAGGAACAUCCAUGGCGAAGGCAGCUACCUGGACCAACAUUGACACUGAGGCACGAAAGCGUGGGGAGCAAACAGGAUUAGAUACCCUGGUAGUCCACGCCCUAAACGAUGCGAACUGGAUGUUGGGUGCAAUUUGGCACGCAGUAUCGAAGCUAACGCGUUAAGCUCGCCGCCUGGGGAGUACGGUCGCAAGACUGAA
Molecule: ribosomal RNA, 373 nt
Filed under: uncultured bacterium
Lineage: Bacteria
Description: bacterial SSU rRNA
Rfam family: Bacterial small subunit ribosomal RNA
Source: RNAcentral